UGCCACAGACAUAUCACCCUGCAGCCCAAGACUGGUUGCCCACUGAAGCUAAGCAGGGUUGAGCCUUUUCAGUACCUGGAUGGGAGACCUCCUGGGAAAACUAGGUUGCUGUUGGAA
This 117-nucleotide ribosomal RNA is filed under the name Sinocyclocheilus rhinocerous. The record is from RNAcentral. Lineage: Eukaryota; Metazoa; Chordata; Actinopteri; Cypriniformes; Cyprinidae.